AGGGUGUAAACGCUGCAGACUUGGUGUUGGGAACCCUUCGGGGGUGCUCAGUGCCGGAGAGAAGUUGUUAAGUCUGCUACUUGGGGAGUACGUCCGCAAGGAUGAAACUUAAAGGAAUUGGCGGGGGAGCACCGCAACGGGAGGAGCGUGCGGUUUAAUUGGAUUCAACGCCGAAAAACUCACCAGCAGCGACUGUUACAUGAAAGUCAGGUUGAUGACCUUACUAGAUUUUCAGAGAGGUGGUGCAUGGCGUCAGUG
RNAcentral lists this ribosomal RNA (258 nucleotides) under uncultured archaeon. Its description in RNAcentral is "partial 16S ribosomal RNA". It matches the Rfam family "Archaeal small subunit ribosomal RNA", at positions 748 to 1005 of the family's 1478-position model. The record is from RNAcentral.